Molecule: RNase P RNA, 387 nt
Filed under: Sphingomonas aurea
Lineage: Bacteria; Pseudomonadati; Pseudomonadota; Alphaproteobacteria; Sphingomonadales; Sphingomonadaceae
Description: RNase P RNA component class A
Rfam family: Bacterial RNase P class A
About the family: Ribonuclease P (RNase P) is a ubiquitous endoribonuclease, found in archaea, bacteria and eukarya as well as chloroplasts and mitochondria. Its best characterised activity is the generation of mature 5'-ends of tRNAs by cleaving the 5'-leader elements of precursor-tRNAs. Cellular RNase Ps are ribonucleoproteins.
Source: RNAcentral
CCAGAGGAUCGGGCGACCGCGGCCCCCGCGUGAGUGGGGGGCGAGGAAAGUCCGGGCUCCAUGGAACGACGGUGCCGGGUAACGCCCGGCGGGGGCGACCCCAGGGACAGUGCCACAGAGAGCAGACGGCGACGGCUUCGGCCCCGCCAUGGUGAAAGGGUGCGGUAAGAGCGCACCGCGCGACCGGUAACGGAAGCGGCAUGGUAAACCCCACCGGGAGCAAGAUCGAAUAGGGGUGGCACGGGGCUUACGUCCCAGGGCGCGUUCCCGCCCGCUACCCGGGUUGAUUGCUGCAGGCGGCGCGCAAGCGUCGUCGUAGAGGAAUGGUCGCCCAUUUCCGCGAUAAAGCGGAAAGGACAGAACCCGGCUUACAGAUCCUCUGGCCUU